GACUACGACACGACGAAGGCGGACACGACAGUUUUUUCAAGAGCCCCGCAGUUCAGCCUUGCCGAGAGGCUACAUCACGAAGCGCCAGAGUCCGUAGACUUUCCUGGUCCUACGGACUACAAUAUAAGCAGAGGAAAAACUACGGCGACCUAUCGAUCGCCGCAGUACAGCUUCGGAUUAAAGAUUAAAGACAAGCCUCCGGAUUCCCUGAAAUUCCCAGGCCCGGGAGAGUACAGUCCAGACAAAGGAGAUCGCAUAGUGCGCACUAGAUCACCAGAGUACCAAAUGGGGUCAAAGUUAAAGAAAAGCCUCCCGAGCACUUCGACUACCCCGGGCCAAGCGAAUACCACUCAGAAAGAGCUGACCACGUGACCAGAAGUCGCUCUCCACGAUACAGGUUCGGCGUCAAGAUAACAGACAGGCCACCGGAAUCUCUGCAAUACCCGGGUCAGUUACGUAGUUUUUGAAAUCCCUGCACUCUACCAACUGCUUCUUUUCUUCCCAUGCUUGUGUUUCUACACGUAUGAACUCAAUAUAUAUAAACGCAAUGAACCCUUAGGCCCCGGUGAAUACAACGUUGACAAAGCAGAUCACGCGACGAGGAAGCGGUCGCCACAGCACCGAAUUGGUACCAAGUUGAAAGACAGGUCACCCGAUUCUCUUCACUACCCGGGUCAGUACAAGUUAACUUACUGAUCACGCGUUAGUUUAGGUGUCUGUUAUAAGUUACACCAUUAAUGCUGAAACGCAAUCCCUUCAAGGUCCGGGUGAAUACA
This 776-nucleotide long non-coding RNA is filed under the name Rhipicephalus microplus (southern cattle tick). RNAcentral describes it as "uncharacterized LOC119164051, transcript variant X1". Lineage: Eukaryota; Metazoa; Arthropoda; Arachnida; Ixodida; Ixodidae. The record is from RNAcentral.